GAUUAACGCUAGCGGCAGGCCUAAUACAUGCAAGUCGAACGGGAUUCAAAGUAGCAAUAUUUUGAUGAGAGUGGCGCACGGGUGAGUAACACGUAUGCAAUUUACCUUUAACUGGGGGAUAGCCCUCCGAAAGGAGGAUUAAUACCGCAUAAUAUAUUGAAAUGGCAUCAUUUUAAUAUUAAACCUACGGGGGUUAAAGAUGAGCAUGCAUCCGAUUAGCUAGUUGGUGUGGUAACGGCUCACCAAGGCAACGAUCGGUAGGGGGUCUGAGAGGAUGAUCCCCCACACUGGUACUGAGACACGGACCAGACUCCUACGGGAGGCAGCAGUAAGGAAUAUUGGACAAUGGAGGCAACUCUGAUCCAGCCAUGCCGCGUGAAGGAUUAAGGCCCUAUGGGUUGUAAACUUCUUUUAGACGGGACAAAACCCUUUACGUGUAAAGGGUUGAUGGUACUGUCAGAAUAAGCAUCGGCUAACUUCGUGCCAGCAGCCGCGGUAAUACGUAG
This 506-nucleotide ribosomal RNA is filed under the name uncultured bacterium. RNAcentral's name for it is "bacterial SSU rRNA". It matches the Rfam family "Bacterial small subunit ribosomal RNA", at positions 28 to 530 of the family's 1533-position model. The record is from RNAcentral.